Molecule: non-coding RNA, 376 nt
Organism: Pelobates cultripes (western spadefoot toad)
Lineage: Eukaryota; Metazoa; Chordata; Amphibia; Anura; Pelobatidae
Source: the annotation of a GenBank genome assembly
CCUGAGUUUCAAAACCAUAUCACCCAAGCACUGAAGCUUUAAUUCCAGGAAAAUGAUACAAAAAGAUCUCACCAAUCUGAUCUGGCAGGCCCAUAAAAGUGUUAUACGUGGCACAAUUAUUCAUCUUGCUUCUCAGAAAAAGAAGACAACCCUACAGGAGAUGACGAAUCUAUCCAAAUUAAUCUCAAACCUUGAAUAUCAACAUAAACGAACGCAACUGAUGGCUGUCUCUGGGGAACUCAUGCAGGCCCGACAAUAACUGAAGGAACUCCUCACACGUAGGUAUCUUCGCUCUUUCCAACAUUCACAAGACUUCUUCUACGCAUUGCAAUAAGGGAUGCAAAUUCCUGGCUCGACUAUUAAAGGGCAACACCCC